RNAcentral lists this transfer RNA (84 nucleotides) under Oharaeibacter diazotrophicus. It matches the Rfam family "tRNA". Rfam says of the family: Transfer RNA (tRNA) molecules are approximately 80 nucleotides in length. Their secondary structure includes four short double-helical elements and three loops (D, anti-codon, and T loops). The record is from Rfam by way of RNAcentral. Lineage: Bacteria; Pseudomonadati; Pseudomonadota; Alphaproteobacteria; Hyphomicrobiales; Pleomorphomonadaceae.
GCGGACGUGGCGGAACCGGUAGACGCACGAGACUUAAAAUCUUGCGCCCGUAAGGGCUUAGGGGUUCGAUCCCCCUCGUCCGCA